CAAGUCGAGGGGCAGCAUGACUGUAGCAAUACAGUUGAUGGCGACCGGCAAACGGGUGCGGAACACGUACACAACCUUCCUUUAAGCGGGGAAUAGCCCGGGGAAACCCGGAUUAAUACCCCAUAGUAUAUUGAAGAGGCAUCUCUUUAUUAUUAAAGAUUUAUCACUUGAAGAUGGGUGUGCGGCUGAUUAGCUAGUUGGAGGGGUAACGGCCCACCAAGGCAACGAUCAGUAACUGGUGUGAGAGCACGACCAGUCACACGGGCACUGAGACACGGGCCCGACUCCUACGGGAGGCAGCAGUAAGGAAUAUUGGUCAAUGGACGAAAGUCUGAACCAGCCAUGCCGCGUGGAGGAUGAAGGUCCUCUGGAUUGUAAACUUCUUUUAUCUGGGACGAAAAAAGGGAAUUCUUUCUCGUCUGACGGUACCAGAUGAAUAAGCACCGGCUAACUCCGUGCCAGCAGCCGCGGUAAUACGGAGGGUGCAAGCGUUAUCCGGAUUCACUGGGUUUAAAGGGUGCGUAGGUGGGUUGGUAAGUCAGUGGUGAAAUCCCCGAGCUUAACUUGGGAACUGCCAUUGAUACUAUCAGUCUUGAAUACCGUGGAGGUCAGCGGAAUAUGUCAUGUAGCGGUGAAAUGCUUAGAUAUGACAUAGAACACCAAUUGCGAAGGCAGCUGGCUACACGAAUAUUGACACUCAGGCACGAAAGCGUGGGGAUCAAACAGGAUUAGAUACCCUGGUAGUCCACGCCCUAAACUAUGGAUACUCGACAUACGCGAUACACUGUGUGUGUCUGAGCGAAAGCAUUAAGUAUCCCACCUGGGAA
This 827-nucleotide ribosomal RNA is filed under the name uncultured Flavobacteriales bacterium. RNAcentral's name for it is "bacterial SSU rRNA". It matches the Rfam family "Bacterial small subunit ribosomal RNA", at positions 58 to 879 of the family's 1533-position model. Lineage: Bacteria; Pseudomonadati; Bacteroidota; Flavobacteriia; Flavobacteriales. The record is from RNAcentral.